CGCAGCCUAACGCUCAUACAGGAGCACCAAGUACAGAACCGAAGCCAGCUGGGUCAAGAUCUACGCUACUACCAGCCAAGUGACCAGUCUGAUAGAGAUACAUCACCCUUGUGUUGCAGCUUGAAGAGCGUGUGGUCAUCCUCGGUCGUCCAAGAAUACAUAUUAUGGACUUAACACCAUGUCUGUUUAUAAUUUUCUUGUUGAUCUUCUUCCACAACCCCUUACAGCUGUGUAACUACAGUUCUGAGUGAAAUACAUGCAUAAUGACAGUUAAAUAAUGCAUGUUAGUCCCGUCUGAAAUUAUUCUUUUGUGU
Molecule: long non-coding RNA, 314 nt
Organism: Etheostoma spectabile (orangethroat darter)
Lineage: Eukaryota; Metazoa; Chordata; Actinopteri; Perciformes; Percidae
Exons: 3
Source: RefSeq, a predicted model, not a curated record